AGCUUUGUGCAGUGGCAGUAUCGUAGCCAAUGAGGUUUAUCCGAGGCGCGAUUAUUGCUAAUUGAAACAUUGACGUACAAGCGCUUUUCCAACCGAGUGUUCUCCUACCUUUAGGUAAAUACCCAGGAGUGGAAUUGCUGGAUCCUAUCCUAUGG
Tupaia belangeri (northern tree shrew) is the source of this 155-nucleotide small nuclear RNA. Its record names the gene U4. It matches the Rfam family "U4 spliceosomal RNA". From Rfam's summary of the family: U4 small nuclear RNA (U4 snRNA) is a component of the major U2-dependent spliceosome. The structure of U4 snRNA from yeast and human has been reported. U4 snRNA presents a k-turn RNA motif in the 5p-SL related to recognition of Snu13 protein. NCBI's taxonomy places the organism in Eukaryota, Metazoa, Chordata, Mammalia, Scandentia, Tupaiidae. The record is from Ensembl.